Molecule: ribosomal RNA, 1276 nt
Filed under: uncultured bacterium
Lineage: Bacteria
Description: bacterial SSU rRNA
Rfam family: Bacterial small subunit ribosomal RNA
Source: RNAcentral
GAACGAAGCGAUUAGAAGGAAGUUUUCGGAUGGAAUUUUAAUUGACUGAGUGGCGGACGGGUGAGUAACGCGUGGGUAACCUGCCUCAUACAGGGGGAUAACAGUUAGAAAUGACUGCUAAUACCGCAUAAGCGCACAGGAUUGCAUGAUCCGGUGUGAAAAACUCCGGUGGUAUGAGAUGGACCCGCGUCUGAUUAGCUAGUUGGUGGGGUAACGGCCUACCAAGGCGACGAUCAGUAGCCGACCUGAGAGGGUGACCGGCCACAUUGGGACUGAGACACGGCCCAAACUCCUACGGGAGGCAGCAGUGGGGAAUAUUGCACAAUGGGGGAAACCCUGAUGCAGCAACGCCGCGUGAGUGAAGAAGUAUUUCGGUAUGUAAAGCUCUAUCAGCAGGGAAGAAAAUGACGGUACCUGAGUAAGAAGCCCCGGCUAACUACGUGCCAGCAGCCGCGGUAAUACGUAGGGGGCAAGCGUUAUCCGGAUUUACUGGGUGUAAAGGGAGCGUAGACGGCGAUGCAAGUCUGAAGUGAAAGCCCGGGGCUCAACCCCGGGACUGCUUUGGAAACUGUAUGGCUGGAGUGCUGGAGAGGCAAGCGGAAUUCCUAAUGUAGCGGUGAAAUGCGUAAAUAUUAGAAAAACACCAGUGGCAAAAGCGGCUUGCUGGACCGUAACUGACGUUGAGGCUUGGAAAGCGGGGGGAGCAAACAGGAUUAGAUACCCUGGUAGUCCACGCUGUAAACGAUGAAUGCUAGGUGUUGGGGAGCAAAGCUUCUCGGUGCCGCCGCAAACGCAGUAAGCAUUCCACCUGGGGAGUACGUUCGCAAGAAUGAAACUCAAAGGAAUUGACGGGGACCCGCACAAGCGGUGGAGCAUGUGGUUUAAUUCGAAGCAACGCGAAGAACCUUACCAAGUCUUGACAUCCCGGUGACGCAUGCAGAAAUGUGUGUUCUCUUCGGAGCACUGGAGACAGGUGGUGCAUGGUUGUCGUCAGCUCGUGUCGUGAGAUGUUGGGUUAAGUCCCGCAACGAGCGCAACCCUUAUCCUUAGUAGCCAGCAGGUAAAGCUGGGCACUCUAGGGAGACUGCCAGGGAUAACCUGGAGGAAGGUGGGGAUGACGUCAAAUCAUCAUGCCCCUUAUGAUUUGGGCUACACACGUGCUACAAUGGCGUAAACAAAGGGAAGCGAAGUGGCGACAUGGAGCGAACCCCAAAAAUAACGUCUCAGUUCGGAUUGCAGGCUGCAACCCGCCUGCAUGAAGCCGGAAUCGCUAGUA